RNAcentral lists this ribosomal RNA (965 nucleotides) under Escherichia coli. Its description in RNAcentral is "partial 23S ribosomal RNA". It matches the Rfam family "Bacterial large subunit ribosomal RNA", at positions 1957 to 2916 of the family's 2925-position model. Lineage: Bacteria; Pseudomonadati; Pseudomonadota; Gammaproteobacteria; Enterobacterales; Enterobacteriaceae. The record is from RNAcentral.
UAGCGAAAUUCCUUGUCGGGUAAGUUCCGACCUGCACGAAUGGCGUAAUGAUGGCCAGGCUGUCUCCACCCGAGACUCAGUGAAAUUGAACUCGCUGUGAAGAUGCAGUGUACCCGCGGCAAGACGGAAAGACCCCGUGAACCUUUACUAUAGCUUGACACUGAACAUUGAGCCUUGAUGUGUAGGAUAGGUGGGAGGCUUUGAAGUGUGGACGCCAGUCUGCAUGGAGCCGACCUUGAAAUACCACCCUUUAAUGUUUGAUGUUCUAACGUUGACCCGUAAUCCGGGUUGCGGACAGUGUCUGGUGGGUAGUUUGACUGGGGCGGUCUCCUCCUAAAGAGUAACGGAGGAGCACGAAGGUUGGCUAAUCCUGGUCGGACAUCAGGAGGUUAGUGCAAUGGCAUAAGCCAGCUUGACUGCGAGCGUGACGGCGCGAGCAGGUGCGAAAGCAGGUCAUAGUGAUCCGGUGGUUCUGAAUGGAAGGGCCAUCGCUCAACGGAUAAAAGGUACUCCGGGGAUAACAGGCUGAUACCGCCCAAGAGUUCAUAUCGACGGCGGUGUUUGGCACCUCGAUGUCGGCUCAUCACAUCCUGGGGCUGAAGUAGGUCCCAAGGGUAUGGCUGUUCGCCAUUUAAAGUGGUACGCGAGCUGGGUUUAGAACGUCGUGAGACAGUUCGGUCCCUAUCUGCCGUGGGCGCUGGAGAACUGAGGGGGGCUGCUCCUAGUACGAGAGGACCGGAGUGGACGCAUCACUGGUGUUCGGGUUGUCAUGCCAAUGGCACUGCCCGGUAGCUAAAUGCGGAAGAGAUAAGUGCUGAAAGCAUCUAAGCACGAAACUUGCCCCGAGAUGAGUUCUCCCUGACUCCUUGAGAGUCCUGAAGGAACGUUGAAGACGACGACGUUGAUAGGCCGGGUGUGUAAGCGCAGCGAUGCGUUGAGCUAACCGGUACUAAUGAACCGUGAGG